This 422-nucleotide ribosomal RNA is filed under the name uncultured bacterium. RNAcentral describes it as "partial 16S ribosomal RNA". It matches the Rfam family "Bacterial small subunit ribosomal RNA", at positions 359 to 773 of the family's 1533-position model. The record is from RNAcentral.
GAAUUUUGGACAAUGGGGGCAACCCUGAUCCAGCCAUGCCGCGUGUGCGAAGAAGGUCUUCUGGUUGUAAAGCACUAGAAGCAGUGAAGAUGACUCCAUGGUGAAUACACAUGGACGCUGACAUUACCUGCAGAAUAAGCCACGGCUGACUCUGUGCCAGCCACCGCGGUAAUACCGAGGGUGCAAGCGUUAAUCGGAAUUACGGGGCGUAAAGCGAGCGUAGGUGGCUUGAUAAGUCAGAUGUGAAAUCCCCGGGCUUAACCUGGGAACUGCAUCUGAUACUGUUAGGCUAGAAUAGGUGAGAGGAAGGUAGAAUUCCAGGUGUAGCGGUGAAAUGCGUAGAGAUCUGGAGGAAUACCGAUGGCGAAGGCAGCCUUCUGGCAUCAUAUUGACACUGAGGUUCGAAAGCGUGGGUAGCAAAC